RNAcentral lists this unclassified non-coding RNA (206 nucleotides) under Hevea brasiliensis (rubber tree). Lineage: Eukaryota; Viridiplantae; Streptophyta; Magnoliopsida; Malpighiales; Euphorbiaceae. The record is from RNAcentral.
GGUCCUUUCAUCUCUAACUCAAAUGUUUGAGCUAAUGUAACAUUUGUUUUUAGUAGUUGAAGUUGCAUUGAGGUUAGAAAGAUGGCCAAUUUAGAAGGUGCAAAAGACUGGUUAUUCUCUUGCUUGUGAUUUUUAGGGGGGUUGUAGAUGGAAAAUUGUGUUUGAAUUUUGUAGCUUUGAUGCGGUGAAAAAGACUUGAUUCAGCG